GACGAACGCUGGCGGCGUGCUUAACACAUGCAAGUCGAACGGAAAGGCCCUGCUUUUGUGGGGUGCUCGAGUGGCGAACGUGUGAGUAACACGUGAGUAACCUUCCCUUUACUUUGGGAUAACUUCAGGAAACUUGUUCUAAUACCUGAUAGGAGCUCCUGCUGCAUGGUGGUGGUUGGUAAGUUUCGUCGGUUGGGGAUGGACUCGCGGCUUAUCAUCUUUUUUGUGUGGUAGUGGCUUACCAAGGCUUUGACGGGUAGCCGGCCUGAGAGGGUGACCGGCAAAAUUGGGACUGAGAUACGGCACAGACUACUACGGGAGGCAGCAGUGGGGAAUAUAGCACAAUGGGAGGAAGCAUGAUGCAGAAAAGCAGCGUGCGGGAUGACGGCCUUCGGGUUGUAAACCGAUUUCGCAUGUGACGAAGCGUGAGUGACGGUAAUGGGUAAAGAAGCACCGGCUAACUACGUG
Molecule: ribosomal RNA, 468 nt
Filed under: uncultured bacterium
Lineage: Bacteria
Description: partial 16S ribosomal RNA
Rfam family: Bacterial small subunit ribosomal RNA
Source: RNAcentral